UCUUUCGCUCCUUAAAUCAAUUAUUCGGAAAAGAAAAUUAGACUGUCGUGGUUUUAGAAUGUCGUCUUAAACUCCUUUUCAGACAUUUGGCUGCUGCCCAAGGCAUCGAUGGCGACGCCUGCCGGCCAUUUGCGCCCUCCAUCCGUACGUAACACCUUCAACACUUAUCUUCAUCCCAACGAAUUAAAUUCUGGCAGCCCACAUAUUUUAAUUAAACCACAGCCCAAGUACUUAUUUCCUUUAGCCCAAGAUUAAGUAAAUUGGAAAGCCCAAACAAAUUAAUCAUCCAACAAAUAAAUUUGGGUGCUCAAAUUUAAAGACACCAAAUCAAGAUUUUAGAGAGUGUCGGUGUCUGUAAUCCUCCCCAAACUAUUCUCACUCUUAGGAACCUCCGUCUACCUCUUCUCCCUCACGCACCAUCUACCAUUAACGCAGCUGCUGGCUCUUCUUCCUAUCGCUGUCACAUCCAAACAGAAACUCCACUUUGUCUCCCCGCACCAGCAGCCGUUUGUACCUCCGUCGCGAGGCUGCCGUCCCAAACAGCGUCGUCGCUGCUGCGUUUCCUCCAGCACAGUCCCGCUGUGUCCGUGUUCAUCGCCGUUAGCCACUGCGAUUUCCAGUUGCGCUGCCAGGAGUCAACUCGCCAGGAAGUUGCCAGCACCGUCUCGCCCCGUCGCUAUUCCCUUGACGGGAGACAGCCUGCUCAACCCCUCUCCGUUUACUUGGCCAACCAUGGUGGUGGAGUGUGUAUUGGCAGAGAUGUGCAGGGAGAGAAGCUGGAGAGUGAAUCGCAGAAAAGAUUUCCUUCUGGACUAUGAGUUUUAAUGGAAUUGGGCUCACAAGAAAAAUUCGCUUAAAACAAAUAUGUAUUUGGACUUAAGUAAUUUGAGUCCAAACAUUAUAUAUAUUUUUUAAAUACUUAGGCCUAAAUUACUUGUACCUCAAACCAAUCAGACUAAUAUCUUGAACGUUGCUAAUAUAUUUGAUAGGCUCAAA
Molecule: long non-coding RNA, 996 nt
Organism: Salvia splendens (bonfire salvia)
Lineage: Eukaryota; Viridiplantae; Streptophyta; Magnoliopsida; Lamiales; Lamiaceae
Exons: 2
Source: RefSeq, a predicted model, not a curated record